CAGCAGUCGCCGCGGUAAUACGUAGGGUGCGAGCGUUAAUCGGAAUUACUGGGCGUAAAGCGUGCGCAGGCGGUUAUAUAAGACAGAUGUGAAAUCCCCGGGCUCAACCUGGGACCUGCAUUUGUGACUGUAUAGCUAGAGUACGGUAGAGGGGGAUGGAAUUCCGCGUGUAGCAGUGAAAUGCGUAGAUAUGCGGAGGAACACCGAUGGCGAAGGCAAUCCCCUGGACCUGUACUGACGCUCAUGCACGAAAGCGUGGGGAGCAAACAGGAUUAGAUACCCCUGUAGUCCCUGUCUCUUAUAC
RNAcentral lists this ribosomal RNA (304 nucleotides) under uncultured bacterium. Its description in RNAcentral is "partial 16S ribosomal RNA". It matches the Rfam family "Bacterial small subunit ribosomal RNA", at positions 509 to 807 of the family's 1533-position model. The record is from RNAcentral.